This is a long non-coding RNA of Telopea speciosissima, 412 nucleotides long. RefSeq lists it as uncharacterized. Lineage: Eukaryota; Viridiplantae; Streptophyta; Magnoliopsida; Proteales; Proteaceae. The transcript is spliced from 3 exons. The record is from RefSeq and is a predicted model, not a curated record.
CCUUCUGAACAUCUGUGGAGAUUUGAAUGUGUAUUACAGGGUAACUUGGCAUUCAUGGAAGGCAAAUUUGAGACAUACUUAUUUCAACAUGCCAUGGACAGAAAUUUCAGUUAUUGUAGCAGUUGUGCUGCUUGUUCUUACAUUCUUACAAACCAUAUAUACUAUCAAAUCUGUUAUUUGAAAUUAAAUCUGCUACUCUGAUCGAUUGCUUGUGUAUUCAACAUUGGUGGUUUUGUCCUGGUGCUGGAAUGAUUCGAUUUAUGAAAUGUGGUGGUAACAUGAAGAAUUUGCAUUCAUGAUUCGUUUUUCACCCGCAACAAGCAUCAUCACUGAACAGAAGUCCUUUGGCAGUAGGUGUGGCAAUGGGCCCCAAGAGAAGGAUUUCUUGAUUAUCUUGAGUUCGUAUCAUCUU